Molecule: ribosomal RNA, 468 nt
Filed under: uncultured bacterium
Lineage: Bacteria
Description: partial 16S ribosomal RNA
Rfam family: Bacterial small subunit ribosomal RNA
Source: RNAcentral
GACGAACGCUGGCGGCGUGCUUAACACAUGCAAGUCGAACGGAAAGGCCCUGCUUUUGUUGGGUGCUCGAGUGGCGAACGGGUGAGUAACACGUGAGUAACCUGCCCUUGACUUUGGGAUAACUUCAGGAAACUGGGGCUAAUACCGGAUAGGAGCUCCUGCUGCAUGGUGGGGGUUGGAAAGUUUCGGCGGUUGGGGAUGGACUCGCGGCUUAUCAGCUUGUUGGUGGGGUAGUGGAUUACCAAGGCUUUGACGGGUAGGCGGCCUGAGAGGGUGACCGGCCACAUGGGGACUGAGAGACGGCCCAGAAGCCUACGGGAGGCAGCAGUGGGGAAUAUUGCACAAUGGGCGGAAGCCUGAGGCAGCAACGCCGCGUGCGGGAUGACGGGCUUCGGGUGGUAAACAGCUUUCGCCUGUGACGAAGCGGGAGUGACGGUAAUGGGUAAAGAAGCACCGGCUAACUACGUG